CUCUAGUCCAAACGCGAAGAGAACUGCACAACAGUACUCACAAGCAUUGGUCACCGAGAAACUGUUGGAAGACUCGAGGUUAUCGACAUGUGGGUGCCUGAGAAAAUGUGAUAUGGAAUGUCCAUGCUGUACCUGAAACCAGAAGGAUAUUAAAGGAAUUCUGGAAGAAAGCUAGUGACAGCAAUCAAAUUGCAUGGAUGCAGACCGAGUUGCUGAAUGUUUCCAGCAUUUUGUUUUUACUUCAUGAAUAAUUGUCAGUUGAUGCUGCCAGAAAGUGUCUGCUGGUUCUUCCAAAUCCAAAGGAAAAACAAGACACAGAUUAACAAUA
Pristis pectinata (smalltooth sawfish) is the source of this 328-nucleotide long non-coding RNA. RefSeq lists it as uncharacterized. The transcript has 3 exons. NCBI's taxonomy places the organism in Eukaryota, Metazoa, Chordata, Chondrichthyes, Rhinopristiformes, Pristidae. The record is from RefSeq and is a predicted model, not a curated record.